UUUAACACAUGCAAGUCGAGGGGCAGCGGGAUUGAAGCUUGCUUCAAUUGCCGGCGACCGGCGCACGGGUGAGUAACGCGUAUCCAACCUUCCGUACACUCAGGGAUAGCCUUUCGAAAGAAAGAUUAAUACCUGAUGGUAUGAUGAGAUUGCAUGAUAGCAUCAUUAAAGAUUUAUCGGUGUACGAUGGGGAUGCGUUCCAUUAGGUAGUAGGCGGGGUAACGGCCCACCUAGCCAACGAUGGAUAGGGGUUCUGAGAGGAAGGUCCCCCACAUUGGAACUGAGACACGGUCCAAACUCCUACGGGAGGCAGCAGUGAGGAAUAUUGGUCAAUGGACGAGAGUCUGAACCAGCCAAGUAGCGUGAAGGAUGAAGGUCCUACGGAUUGUAAACUUCUUUUAUAAGGGAAUAAACCCUCCCACGUGUGGGAGCUUGUAUGUACCUUAUGAAUAAGCAUCGGCUAACUCCGUGCCAGCAGCCGCGGUAAUACGGAGGAUGCGAGCGUUAUCCGGAUUUAUUGGGUUUAAAGGGAGCGCAGACGGGUCGUUAAGUCAGCUGUGAAAGUUUGGGGCUCAACCUUAAAAUUGCAGUUGAUACUGGCGUCCUUGAGUGCGGUUGAGGUGUGCGGAAUUCGUGGUGUAGCGGUGAAAUGCUUAGAUAUCACGAAGAACUCCGAUUGCGAAGGCAGCACACUAAUCCGUAACUGACGUUCAUGCUCGAAAGUGUGGGUAUCAAACAGGAUUAGAUACCCUGGUAGUCCACACGGUAAACGAUGGAUACUCGCUGUUGGCGAUAUACUGUCAGCGGCUUAGCGAAAGCGUUAAGUAUCCCACCUGGGGAGUACGCCGGCAACGGUGCAACUCAAAUGAAUUGACGG
This 877-nucleotide ribosomal RNA is filed under the name uncultured Bacteroidota bacterium. Its description in RNAcentral is "bacterial SSU rRNA". It matches the Rfam family "Bacterial small subunit ribosomal RNA", at positions 47 to 916 of the family's 1533-position model. Lineage: Bacteria; Pseudomonadati; Bacteroidota. The record is from RNAcentral.